This 489-nucleotide ribosomal RNA is filed under the name uncultured bacterium. Its description in RNAcentral is "partial 16S ribosomal RNA". It matches the Rfam family "Bacterial small subunit ribosomal RNA", at positions 27 to 506 of the family's 1533-position model. The record is from RNAcentral.
GGAUGAACGCUAGCGGCAGGCUUAAUACAUGCAAGUCGAGGGGCAGCAGGACUGUAGCAAUACAGUUGCUGGCGACCGGCAAACGGGUGCGGAACACGUACGCAACCUACCCAAAACUGGGGGAUAGCCCGGGGAAACCCGGAUUAAUACCUCGUAACCUUUUUAAGUGGCAUCACUUGAUAAGUAUAGCUCCGGCGGUUUUGGAUGGGCGUGCGCCUGAUUAGGUAGUUGGUGCGGGUAACGGCCCACCAAGCCUGCGAUCAGUAACUGGUGUGAGAGCACGACCAGUCACACGGGCACUGAGACACGGGCCCGACUCCUACGGGAGGCAGCAGUAAGGAAUAUUGGUCAAUGGACGCAAGUCUGAACCAGCCAUGCCGCGUGAAGGAUGAAGGUCCUCUGGAUUGUAAACUUCUUUUAUGGGGGACGAAACCCGGAUAUUCUUAUCCGAUUGACGGUACCUCAGGAAUAAGCACCGGCUAACUCCGU